AACGAACGCUGGCGGCAUGCCUAACACAUGCAAGUCGAACGAGACCUUCGGGUCUAGUGGCGCACGGGUGCGUAACGCGUGGGAAUCUGCCCCUCGGUUCGGAAUAACACAGAGAAAUUUGUGCUAAUACCGGAUAAUGACUUCGGUCCAAAGAUUUAUCGCCGAGGGAUGAGCCCGCGUAAGAUUAGCUUGUUGGUGGGGUAAUGGCCUACCAAGGCGACGAUCUUUAGCUGGUCUGAGAGGAUGAUCAGCCACACUGGAACUGAGACACGGCCCAGACUCCUGCGGGAGGCAGCAGUGGGGAAUUUUGGACAAUGGGCGAAAGCCUGAUCCAGCGAUGCCGCGUGGGUGAAGAAGGCCUGCGGGUUGUAAAGCUCUUUCGGCCGGGAAGAAAUCGUGUUCUCUAACAUAGGACAUGGAUGACGGUACCGGACUAAGAAGCACCGGCUAACUACGUG
RNAcentral lists this ribosomal RNA (458 nucleotides) under uncultured bacterium. Its description in RNAcentral is "bacterial SSU rRNA". It matches the Rfam family "Bacterial small subunit ribosomal RNA", at positions 29 to 507 of the family's 1533-position model. The record is from RNAcentral.